Schistocerca piceifrons (Central American locust) is the source of this 136-nucleotide long non-coding RNA. RefSeq lists it as uncharacterized. The transcript is spliced from 2 exons. The record is from RefSeq and is a predicted model, not a curated record. Lineage: Eukaryota; Metazoa; Arthropoda; Insecta; Orthoptera; Acrididae.
CGGCAAUGUUGUGUAAUUCGAAUACAGGGCGUAAACAAUGAUUGAUAGGUAAUUCGUGUCUUAUUUAUCAGUGCAGUAGGAAAUAUACGUGCAGGUAAAAAAAAAAAAAAAAAAUGGCAGGAAAAGGGAAUCCAAA